Molecule: long non-coding RNA, 1700 nt
Organism: Hordeum vulgare subsp. vulgare (domesticated barley)
Lineage: Eukaryota; Viridiplantae; Streptophyta; Magnoliopsida; Poales; Poaceae
Exons: 5
Source: RefSeq, a predicted model, not a curated record
UCUUCUUCUUCUUCUCUCUCUCUCCCCCUAAUGUGUUUCGAUUUGGUCCUGAUGUGUUUCGAUUUGGUAGGCCUGCCUCUUCUUCUCUCUCUCCCCCUAAUCUUGCUGCUCAGUUAGUCAACAAAUGAGAUGUUAAGAUAGUUCACCUGGUGUGAACAGGUCGACGGCAGUGGCAGCAGGCGGCGCAUGCAGGGCUCGUGCAGCGCCCCGACGUCUCACGCACGAGCUGCCUUUCGAGCUGCUGCAGGUCGGCAAGCUGAGCAAGGUAAUGGAAGUGCGCCUUAUAUUAAUAGGAUGAGCAUGGAUGAAACCAAAAGGAGGGGCAAUGGCAACCUCGACAAUGAAGAUGAUGUUGUGAUGAGGAAUGAUUCAACUCCAAGAGAGCCAGCAUGGAAAGGACUUAUAACCAAUGACAUCUCUUAUAUUUGGAACCAUGGCCCCAAGUUUGGUGGGGGAUUUGAUUGUUGGUACUGCCACCUAAUCAGUAGAGGAGGAGGCGCAACCCGCUUUAGGGAGCACCUUGGUGGUAUACCAGGUGAAGUGAGGGUGUGCCCUAAUGUUCCAAGAAAUGUGUGUGCUGCAAUGAGGGACUCUCGUGAUGAUGCAAGGCGGAAGAAGAGGGAGAAGACAAAUCGUAAAAUCCGCUGUGUUUGAGCAACUACACUGGAUGGUGACCCUUUUUUCUCCUCACUAAAAGUUGGGUAUUCAUAUAUGUAGGAACCAAAGGAUGUGGAUCUCCUGAACAUAACCUCCAUGGCAUGUCCUGCCUUACCUCUGUGCCCUCUAGCACAAACACAAGCUGAACGAGGGAUCCUACUGAUUCUUAAACGAAUUAGAGCAGUUUUCGACAAGGUUGGCAUCAAGGAAGAGGAGUCUGUAGUUGUGAGGAUAACUGGUUGCCCUAAUGGAUGCGCCAGACCAUACAUGGCCGAGGUUGGCUUUGUUUAUGACGGCCCAAACAGUUAUCAGAUCUGGCUUGGAGGAACACCAAACCAGACCACCUUGGCAGAAACGUUCAUGAAUAAAGUGAAGCUUCAAGAUAUUGAGAAGGUUUUGGAACCACUGUUUUCCUAUUGGAAUAUCACGCGCCAGGAAGGCGAAUCUUUUGGGAGCUUCACGAACGGAAUGGUGAGCGGAUUCUGUUCUUCCAUCGAAUACUAUUGCAGUUUAGUCAUUUGGGAAGGAAUUUUUUGGACCUUCCGAGAGAAUAAGGGAGACAUUUAGUCAGAAGCCCCCAAAUGUUGUCUCUUUCCUGCUAUGUAGAGAGCACCAUUCAUCUGGGAGUUGCUUACUAAAUGGUACUCCCUCUAUACACUAAUGUAAGACGUUUUUGCAGUUCCUUACAUUAGUGUACAGAGGCGAGUACAAACUAGCAAGAUUGUUAAAUUGUUGCUUUCUGUUAGUUGUCAUCAGUAUAAGCGCUGGACUAAUUGAUAUGGCUUCGCAGAUAGUUUUGAUACCGGGAAAUGCCUAAGCUGCGCAAUAUGUGUGUCGACAUAGCCUGCAGUUUGAGUUUGAGUUUGAGGUUCUACCUGUGUCCGGCAUCGGGGCAAUUCAGUGGAUUUGUUGCACCAAAUGAACCCCAAUCGUUUAUUUUCAAAAGUUUUUAUUACUCACUUGUGCAUGCAUUUUUUUAUUUACAUGGACAACAUAGCUUUUGCAGCAAUCCUUCUUACACACUUUCACAGCAAGGACACAUA